GGACAGGUACCCAAGUGGCCAAAGGGGGCAGACUGUAAAUCUGCUGCACAUGUGCUUCAGAGGUUCAAAUCCUCUCCUGUCCA
Molecule: transfer RNA, 83 nt
Filed under: Candidatus Omnitrophota bacterium
Lineage: Bacteria; Pseudomonadati; Candidatus Omnitrophota
Description: Candidatus Omnitrophica bacterium (aquatic metagenome) tRNA-Tyr
Rfam family: tRNA
About the family: Transfer RNA (tRNA) molecules are approximately 80 nucleotides in length. Their secondary structure includes four short double-helical elements and three loops (D, anti-codon, and T loops). Further hydrogen bonds mediate the characteristic L-shaped molecular structure. tRNAs have two regions of fundamental functional importance: the anti-codon, which is responsible for specific mRNA codon recognition, and the 3' end, to which the tRNAs corresponding amino acid is attached (by aminoacyl-tRNA synthetases). tRNAs cope with the degeneracy of the genetic code in two manners: having more than one tRNA (with a specific anti-codon) for a particular amino acid; and 'wobble' base-pairing, i.e. permitting non-standard base-pairing at the 3rd anti-codon position.
Source: RNAcentral